Molecule: long non-coding RNA, 798 nt
Organism: Magnolia sinica
Lineage: Eukaryota; Viridiplantae; Streptophyta; Magnoliopsida; Magnoliales; Magnoliaceae
Exons: 3
Source: RefSeq, a predicted model, not a curated record
CGCCUGAUUUUGCACAAUGCUGCAUAUGGAGGUGCUUUUUGGCCAGGGUGCAUGUGGUGCUAGCUAAUCUCUAGCCAUCCAAAAACUACAUUGCGGUCCACUGGAUGGACUGGGAAAUUGCUAGGUUUGGCCGAGUAUGGACUGAGGGGUCUCUCUUGCAGGUAUGCUGUGGUUUCUUUAAAGCUUCUCUAUGUUUUCACAAUGCAAAAUUCUGCUUAUGAUUGUAUGAGAUGGGAGCUUGUUCUAUAGAUUUAUAAUAGAUGCUGUAUUAUCUUUCAAAAGAAUGUGGUCCCGACCCAAUUGAGGAAGUUAUGCCCAAAGUGUAGUUAGCAUAGUGUCCCAGUGGGAAUCAGAAGUUUAACUGGCAAUGGUAUCAUCUCUCCUUGAUAGGGGCAAUAGUAAUGGAUAGAUGAUUGAAAGGAGAAAUAAAGUCAACCAUAUAGGAUACUGAAUCUGCUAAGGCAUCUAGAAGACAGCUGAAAGAGACAAUCUACUCAGUGCUGUUUGAUAUGAAUGUUCUUGCUGUUUGUGCCAUCAAUCCGGCAUACACAAACAAGCUGUAGAACAAGUUUUCACGUUUGGAAGAAGAGAAUGAAAGGCUCAAGAUGUAGAAGGUCGGCAUUUCAUCUCUCCUUGGGAAUUUUUUUUUUUUCUAAAUGGGAUUGCAGGACCAUGCAGGGUUGGUUGUAUCUAAGUUUUGGUCGGAUAUUGCCUGAGAAUUAGAUCGUGUUUGUUUUCCUUUCGGUUACAUAUUAAGGCAUCUUAUGUUAAAAAAGCUAGGAUUCAGUGGCCUUAUUG